CGCGGCCUAUCAGCUUGUUGGUGGGGUAAUGGCCUACCAAGGCGACGACGGGUAGCCGGCCUGAGAGGGUGAUCGGCCACACUGGGACUGAGACACGGCCCAGACUCCUACGGGAGGCAGCAGUGGGGAAUAUUGCACAAUGGGCGAAAGCCUGAUGCAGCGACGCCGCGUGGGGGAUGACGGUCUUCGGAUUGUAAACCCCUUUCAGUAGGGACGAAGCGCAAGUGACGGUACCUGCAGAAGAAGCACCGGCCAACUACGUGCCAGCAGCCGCGGUAAUACGUAGGGUGCGAGCGUUGUCCGGAAUUACUGGGCGUAAAGAGCUCGUAGGCGGUUUGUCACGUCGUCCGUGAAAAUCCGGGGCUCAACUCCGGACUUGCGGGCGAUACGGGCAGACUUGAGUACUACAGGGGAGACUGGAAUUCCUGGUGUAGCGGUGAAAUGCGCAGAUAUCAGGAGGAACACCGGUGGCGAAGGCGGGUCUCUGGGUAGUAACUGACGCUGAGGAGCGAAAGCAUGGGGAGCAAACAGGAUUAGAUACCCUGGUAGUCCAUGCCGUAAACGGUGGGCGCUAGGUGUGGGGUCCUUCCACGGAUUCCGUGCCGUAGCUAACGCAUUAAGCGCCCCGCCUGGGGAGUACGGA
This 643-nucleotide ribosomal RNA is filed under the name uncultured Actinomycetes bacterium. RNAcentral's name for it is "bacterial SSU rRNA". It matches the Rfam family "Bacterial small subunit ribosomal RNA", at positions 232 to 886 of the family's 1533-position model. Lineage: Bacteria; Bacillati; Actinomycetota; Actinomycetes. The record is from RNAcentral.